Pezoporus occidentalis (night parrot) is the source of this 1591-nucleotide long non-coding RNA. RefSeq lists it as uncharacterized. The transcript has 3 exons. NCBI's taxonomy places the organism in Eukaryota, Metazoa, Chordata, Aves, Psittaciformes, Psittacidae. The record is from RefSeq and is a predicted model, not a curated record.
UGUCUGUGAUCAUCUAAAUUAUAAAUGUAUAGAAAGAGGAUGCAAUAAUCCAUGGUUCAGCAUUGCACAGAGAACGCCAGCAAGACACCAAAUCCAGCGUGAAACAGUUAGGCUGCAGGGGAGGGCGAAAUGCAUUUAAAGCAACGACAAAAAUGGCGUGCAGAAUAAUUACCUCAAGUUGCUAUUCGCUUGACACCCUGACACUAAUUCUGUUGCAGCCAUUAGGAAAUACAGUGAGGCAAAUGUACCUUCCUCGCCUGCUGGUGCAGGUGUGAGUGUGCGUGAAUGGGGGCAAUAAGGCAGGCCGGGAGGGGAAGAAUGCUAAACUUUCCAUCUUAAAAGAAAAGAAAUAAAUUAAAUGAUCCAUUUAGGAGAAAGCAUCUAAAUAGAUAGACAGCUUUUAAUGCCAGCGUUUUUAACGCUUGCCCUGUACGUGGAUUGAUUUUUUUUUUCUCUCCAGCAUUCCCUCAGCAGAUGGAUUUUUGCCACUGCAGCUCAGCAGAGGGUGUCAGAUCUUUCAGUGUGCACCAGGUUGAAACGAGCAGAGCCUCUUAGCAACUCUCCCUCUGCGUGCAUUUCUUGGAAUACACACUUGUAUACAGACUUGGGAGUCCUCCCACUCCGUUUUACUCUCUCAGGAGAGGACUGUUGCUCCUCUGACUCCAAAGAUCUGCGCAUGGAUCCAGUAUGUGACAGCCAGCAGUUGAAACAUCCUCUUUCUGGCUGGUAAUUAACCAGGCUUCUUUUGGAUCAAAACGUAUGGCUGACAAGACUAAAGACAUCUGAACAAAUAUAUUUUCUGAGUCAUUUGAAGCAUGAAUUACUUAGGCUAGUCCUCUGCCUUUGGGAUUUCAUUUAGCUGACCUCUAGGCAUUUCAACGAUUGCAUAGGAUGCUCCACCAUAACAAGCCUUUCAAGAUGAAAGAGCUACUGUUCACUUUGUCAUUUUAAUCCCACCAUGUGAAUUAAAAAAUUACUUCUGUAGAAGUUAUUUUGUAUCAAACUGUUUAAUAAUGUGAACCAAUAAGUCAUUUUGAGGACUAAUAAAAUACUAUGCAGUCAUUCAUAUGAAUCUUUAGAUGAUAUUUACCAUAGGUCUUUAACACUGGAAUUCCUCAGUGUUAACACAGAGUUAUGUAAUAUUAACCUUGCGAAGAAAAAGCACAAGUUUAGUAUUUUUUGCUUCUUAAUGAGUGUUUGUGUAGCAAAGGGCAUUUAAUUCGUGUAAAGUUAUGGGGGAGAUUUAUGGUUUGUUUAACAUAAAAGCUAAAUUAUUUUAUCUAUGUUAGAAAAGCUGAUGUUCCAGUAAUUUGAAAUGUUCAAUAAAUUAUUCACAUAUCUUGUUACAGUAAUAGUCAUAACACUUUUGUUAUGGGAAAAAGGGAACACACCUAUGCAGAACUAGGAAUUUGCUGUUAAUUAAAGUUGUAUUAGUAUAAUCAGUAUAUUCAUUUUUUUUAAUUCUGGUUGCAAUAUUAUAAACACUACUAGCAUGAACUACAUUAUGAUUACAGAAAAGCCUCAUAAAUAAUACAAUCUGAUUUUUUUUACACAUGUAUUUUCUACUAUCUAUUUGGGGGUUUUUGAGUUG